GCAAGAGGUUUCCCUUUGCUCUACAGCGACUCUGGGUCAAUGAGACAAACACUCAAAAUAUCUGUCGGAUACAGCAGCAAGGAACCAAAUGGAAACACACAUAAUGCCUACACAGACCCUACACAAUUUGAAAUAAGUGGCCACUCGACCACUCAAAACUACUUGUGAGGCUUGUAUUCCCACUGGGCGGUGUUGGUCUAGAGAAACUCAGCUGCCACCUCCAGACAUCAGCGCUCCGAGUUUUGGUGGGGAGUUUAAUCAUUGUCGCCGCACAGAUUCUAGUCUAUCCUGGGAAAGAUUUCAUAUGUAUGUGACAAGAAUGUGAUUCAGCAGUUGUAGGACUGAGGACUUUAUAACGCAGUCAGGGAUCUGCAGAGAGAGAGGGAGAGAGAAAAUCCCAGUCAGUCUCCACGUUGUCAGUGCUGAGCCCCACAUGGGGCUCAACCUCACAAACCCUGAGAUCUUGACCUGAGCCAAAAAUCAAGAGUCAGACGCUUAACCAACCGAGCCACCCCAUAAAUAAACAGGUCAGAUUUUAGGGUCAAUCUCUUAUUGUUGUGGAAUCUGAAUCAGAGAGCAUGAGCAACUUGUCCAAGGAAUCAUCGUCAGUUGGGUCAAAGAGAAAAUCACACCACACAAUGUUAAACAAGCAAGUAGACUUUAUUUAAGGCUAUUGCAAAAGGAGAAAGAGUCAGGAACUGAAAGUGGACUCAAUUCUGCUGAACAAAGGUGAUAAAGUUUUUUAACUG
Long non-coding RNA from Panthera uncia (snow leopard), 749 nucleotides. RefSeq lists it as uncharacterized. NCBI's taxonomy places the organism in Eukaryota, Metazoa, Chordata, Mammalia, Carnivora, Felidae. The record is from RefSeq and is a predicted model, not a curated record. The transcript is spliced from 5 exons.